GGCCCCAUCGUCUAGCCUGGCCUAGGACAUCAGACUUUCGAUCUGACGACGGGGGUUCGAAUCCCCCUGGGGUCACCA
Molecule: transfer RNA, 78 nt
Filed under: Peptococcaceae bacterium
Lineage: Bacteria; Bacillati; Bacillota; Clostridia; Eubacteriales; Peptococcaceae
Also listed under: 1 other name
Description: tRNA-Glu
Rfam family: tRNA
About the family: Transfer RNA (tRNA) molecules are approximately 80 nucleotides in length.
Source: RNAcentral